This 443-nucleotide ribosomal RNA is filed under the name uncultured prokaryote. Its description in RNAcentral is "bacterial SSU rRNA". It matches the Rfam family "Bacterial small subunit ribosomal RNA", at positions 355 to 795 of the family's 1533-position model. The record is from RNAcentral.
UAGGGAAUAUUGGUCAAUGGGCGAGAGCCUGAACCAGCCAAGUCGCGUGAAGGAAGAAGGAUCUAUGGUUCGUAAACUUCUUUUGCAGGGGAAUAAAGUGCGGGACGUGUCCUGUUUUGUAUGUACCCUGAGAAUAAGGAUCGGCUAACUCCGUGCCAGCAGCCGCGGUAAUACGGAGGAUCCGAGCGUUAUCCGGAUUUAUUGGGUUUAAAGGGUGCGUAGGUGGUUUGAUAAGUCAGCGGUGAAAGUUUGCAGCUUAACUGUAAAAAUGCCGUUGAAACUGUCGGACUGUAGUGUAAAUGAGGUAGGCGGAAUGCGUGGUGUAGCGGUGAAAUGCAUAGAUAUCACUCAGAACUCCGAUUGCGAAGGUAGCUUACUAAGCUACAACUGACUCUGAAGCACGAAAGCGGGGGGAUCAAACAGGGUUAGAUGCCCUUGUAGGC